UUGGCACCUGAUACUAUUUUUUCAAGCUCGUGGCAACGCUGUUCAGUCGACGGGUAUGUUUUGCUAAAUUAUUCUGAAGCCGUUUUUGUGUUUUUAAUGGGAUGCAUCAACAGUACAAAGAAAUUAAACGAUUUAAAAGGAGAAAACGUAUUCCGUGCCGUACGACUUCACUCCGAUUUGACAGAGCAAGGGCGCACAGGGUUUCUGGAGCUAACUCCAAGAGAAUUGAUUUUCCGUACAGUAUCUAACCAGCGCCUUGUAUGGGCUUUGCAACAUCUACGCCGAUAUGGACUCAAUGGCGAUGUAUUUUCGUUUGAGGCGGGCCGACGUUGUAUGACCGGCCCUGGAAUUUAUACAUUUCGGUGUCAACGUGCAGACCAAUUAUACCAUCUGUUCCAAAGUAACAUAAAUGCUGUGUCCCUUGUGGCGGACGAAGCUUUUCCUUUUGGUGAACGUGAGCGCGAAUACCCAUCACAUAUAUUAGGACGUCCAGAAAAUAUACAUCCAACAAAUAAUUAUCUAGAACCAGCACCGGUAGUAAGCAGCGGAGCAGGACUGUCCGUUUUACAUGGCUCUAGAGCAAUUCGUGACUCUUUUAGUAGUAGUCCUUUAAGUCUUGACUCUCCAGAUUCCGCACCAAGUUUGUCAUUCGCUACAACUGAAGUUGUGCACUUUCAAAGUUCACGUUAUCCUGCUGGGCGCGGUAUGUAUGUCAACACACCAAAUUCAUCCAACGUACUCGCUAACAGCAAUGUGUAUUCGGAACAUCCAUUGCGAACGCAAGUGGAACAUAAUAAUAAUUUGUCAAAUGCUCCCAGCUGUGUACUUAAUACACUAAACCGCAAAAAUUUUGUUAAACACUCGUCUCUGGACAUACCACCAGAAGAAUUUGCGCCUAUGUUAACGCCACCAUCGGAAACACUGCAUAUGUAUGCCAACAUUGACAGUAGUGCACUUGCUGCUAACAGUUUUUGUUUUAGCGGCAUUGGAGAUAUCCGCAAUAUUGGACGCAAUCACGAUCGAUGCUACGAAAAUCUAAAUCGUGAUGAUUUAAAUUUUAUUAUCUCACAACAGAGUUUGUCGUCUAGCAUAACAGUUCGAGAUGUUAACGCGACGGAUGUAUCCAAGGAUCAGCAGUUUAUUCCGAUGUUGCCAACAGAAUCAAGGGCAGUCAAUUAUAUUGUUCUUGAUUUGGACCACCCUCGCAGUCCGACGCAAAGUUCUCCUAAACUACAUAAAGGAAGUGGUCCGUCUUUGACAACAGUUGAGGACAUUGAAGGCACGAAGGGAGCAUGCUCUAAAAUAACAUUCUUCCCAGAUACAUUACAUGCCAAUGUUACUUCUGCGACAAAUGCUACCACCUCAACAACAUCGAGUACAAACACAACGAAGACCGCAAAAAGUAAUGAAGGUGCUGAACAAAUGGAAAAAAAAGAAGAAUCGUCACUAGGCUACUCAACGAUAGAUUUUAUAAAGACAUGUGCACUUAUUAAAUCGUCUACACAUGGUGCAGAUUUCGAUCCAGAACCUGGCAGCGAAGAAUGCCGAAUAACUCGACAUAGUAAAUGCGUGCGAAAAGCUUACUCUAUUAGUGAGUAGGAAGUCGUACGCCUUACCAUACUCUUCACGUGUGUUGAACGCUUUUCCUGAAUUUAGAAUAAGGCGCCAUAUUGGAUCGGCCAUUUUGGUGUUAGUUAUUUUGCUUUCGCAAUAAAAUUUAGCGACCUCUAUAACUCUUAAAUAAUAUAAAUAUAAGCUAUUCUUAUUAUUUUUUUAACAAAAUUAUUGUGUUUAAGAGUUCAGGCGCCAAAUUGGAUCGACCAUUUUUGUUUUUGUUAUUUUGGCUUUAGAUUCGAAUUCAGCGAUCUCAAAAACCCCUGUAGACCUUAAUUCAUGUCAAUAUGUUAAUUUUUUAAAUGGGUAUCAAAUAUCCAUAUAAUAUAGUAUGUAAUACUUCUAUAUUGGCAGUAUCUACAAGUGCAGCCAGCAAACAUUACAGUACAGAUGUAUAAAAAAAAGAAAAGGAAAACCGAGUAAUAGUAUGUAAAAACUGACACUUGAAUUCAAAACAAAUCGCAGUGGCGGCACGUUAAAAGAAAAUUACAGGGAAUUUUUAGUUUACAUUUAACUUAAUGAAUUUUAUAAUACAUUAAAUUAUGGAAAUGUCACACUGACGCUUUUUAUGUGAAAAAUAAGAGAUUAAUUAAAUAAAAUAGCUUUACAUGCGUAUUUUGGUACGCAGAUAAUUUGCAGAAAUUUCAACUAAAAAGCUGGCAAUUCUAAUAAAACUGUUAAUUUUUUUUAAUUUUUUUCACAAAGUUUGGAAUUUGGAUUACAUACAGUAUCGGUCAUAUCUAU
This 2358-nucleotide unclassified non-coding RNA is filed under the name Rhagoletis pomonella (apple maggot). RNAcentral's name for it is "uncharacterized LOC118735276, transcript variant X2". The record is from RNAcentral. Lineage: Eukaryota; Metazoa; Arthropoda; Insecta; Diptera; Tephritidae.